This 343-nucleotide unclassified non-coding RNA is filed under the name soil metagenome. RNAcentral describes it as "partial contains 5.8S ribosomal RNA, internal transcribed spacer 2, and large subunit ribosomal RNA". The stretch from base 1 to 120 matches the Rfam family "5.8S ribosomal RNA", at positions 35 to 154 of the family's 154-position model. The record is from RNAcentral.
GAUGAAGAACGUAGCGAAAUGCGAUAAGUAAUGUGAAUUGCAGAAUUCAGUGAAUCAUCGAAUCUUUGAACGCACAUUUCGCCCGCCAGCAUUCUGGCGGGCAUGCCUGUUCGAGCGUCAUUUCAACCCUCGAGCCCCCCCGGGGGCCUCGGUGUUGGGGGACGGCACACCAGCCGCCCCCGAAAUGCAGUGGCGACCCCGCCGCAGCCUCCCCUGCGUAGUAGCACACACCUCGCACCGGAGCGCGGAGGCGGUCACGCCGUAAAACGCCCAACUUUCUUAGAGUUGACCUCGGAUCAGGUAGGAAUACCCGCUGAACUUAAGCAUAUCAAUAAGCGGAGGA